AAUCGAUAGUGUGGGCGUUGCAAUAGAAAUGAUUUGAAGCAAUCCCAUGCUUCAUGAAAAGAUUCAACAUUCUUUUGAUAAAAAUUAAAAAAUUCAGCUCUUAAGUU
Non-coding RNA from Ricinus communis (castor bean), 107 nucleotides. The record is from Rfam. Lineage: Eukaryota; Viridiplantae; Streptophyta; Magnoliopsida; Malpighiales; Euphorbiaceae.